AGGACACUUUGGACAAGUUUUCUUAAAGUAGGGCUGUCAAAUUCAUUUUCCUCAAGAGCUACAUCAGCUUUAUAGUUGCCUUCAAAAGACUGUUGAAUCCAUGGAGGAAGAAUCCAUAGAAACAGAGGACCAACUAUAAUUUUUCUUAACAUACCAGUAGUGGUUAGUUUUUACCCAUUUCAGGUCCCCAGAUGUUACUGAAUGACAACUUCCAUCACUUUUGAUUAUCCGCCAUGCGAACCGGGAAUAAUAGGAUAACCCAAUUGCACUUAUGGCUCUGAGGUUUGGGAAUGGUUACAGGACAUUAACUUCACCAAACUUUGUUCCUAAUCUUGCAACAAGAAAAUGAGGACCAUGCUGUCCAGAGCCCACUUGAGGAGCAUUCAUUGAGUAACUUGCUCCGCUCCUUCCUCCAUGCCAUGCAGAGACCGGGGCGCAGCCCAUCCUUCCUCUUCCAGCCCCAAAGGUUUGGCCGUGAUGCCCGGGCCAGUCUCAGCAGUGGCAUCCGAAUGAACCCCCGGGCAUGGGAUUCCAAUGCACCUCAGUUUCUGAGCAUGGCAGUUCCACAGCGCUUUGGCAAGAAAUGAAGUUAGAAAGUACAAUGUCAACCCCCAUGGCAGAAAAUAAGCCCCAAAACCAAUCCCAACCCAGAACUAUUGCCCAGUGGAUUCUGUCUUCUCCUACCCCUUCAACUCCUAUUACUGUUAUCACUGUGAAUUAACUGGGCAGCUGGCUCUCACUUGGGGCUUGUGCUUUGCUAAAUGUUAAUGGUCAUAAAUAAAUACUAUUACAUCUUGGAAAGAA
Anolis carolinensis (green anole) is the source of this 804-nucleotide RNA transcript. It is a transcript of the gene named neuropeptide FF-amide peptide precursor, with no coding region annotated. Lineage: Eukaryota; Metazoa; Chordata; Lepidosauria; Squamata; Anolidae. The record is from RefSeq and is a predicted model, not a curated record. The transcript has 3 exons.